UACGGAGGGUGCGAGCGUUGUCCGGAAUCACUGGGCGUAAAGGGCGCGUAGGCGGCGCGGCUAGUCGGCGGUGAAAGCCCGGAGCUCAACUCCGGGUCGGCCGUCGAUACUUCCGGGCUUGAGCACUGUAGAGGCAGAUGGAAUUCCGGGUGUAGCGGUGGAAUGCGUAGAGAUCCGGAAGAACACCAGUGGCGAAGGCGGCUCACUGGCCCGAUACUGACGCUGAGGCACGAAAGCGUGGGGAGCAAACAGG
RNAcentral lists this ribosomal RNA (253 nucleotides) under uncultured bacterium. RNAcentral's name for it is "partial 16S ribosomal RNA". It matches the Rfam family "Bacterial small subunit ribosomal RNA", at positions 524 to 776 of the family's 1533-position model. The record is from RNAcentral.